This 361-nucleotide ribosomal RNA is filed under the name uncultured microorganism. Its description in RNAcentral is "bacterial SSU rRNA". It matches the Rfam family "Bacterial small subunit ribosomal RNA", at positions 9 to 359 of the family's 1533-position model. The record is from RNAcentral.
GAGUUUGAUCGUGGCUCGGGAUGAACGCUGGCGGCGUGCCUAAUACAUGCAAGUCGAGCGAACGGACGAGAAGCUUGCUUCUCUGAUGUUAGCGGCGGACGGGUGAGUAACACGUGGAUAACCUACCUAUAAGACUGGGAUAACUUCGGGAAACCGGAGCUAAUACCGGAUAAUAUUUUGAACCGCAUGGUUCAAAAGUGAAAGACGGUCUUGCUGUCACUUAUAGAUGGAUCCGCGCUGCAUUAGCUAGUUGGUAAGGUAACGGCUUACCAAGGCAACGAUGCAUAGCCGACCUGAGAGGGUGAUCGGCCACACUGGAACUGAGACACGGUCCAGACUCCUACGGGAGGCAGCAGUAGGG